This 400-nucleotide ribosomal RNA is filed under the name uncultured bacterium. Its description in RNAcentral is "bacterial SSU rRNA". It matches the Rfam family "Bacterial small subunit ribosomal RNA", at positions 29 to 416 of the family's 1533-position model. The record is from RNAcentral.
AACGAACGCUGGCGGCGCGCCUAAUACAUGCAAGUCGAGCGAGAAGACGUAGCAAUACGUUUGUAAAGCGGCGAACGGGUGAGGAAUACAUGGGUAACCUACCCUCGAGUGGGGAAGUAACUAGCCGAAAGGUUAGCUAAUACCGCGUACGCUCCUUGGACUUCGGUUCAGGGAGGAAAGACGAUACCGUGGGUAUCGCGCUCUUGGAUGGGCUCAUGUCCUAUCAGCUUGUUGGUGAGGAACGGCUCACCAAGGCUUCGACGGGUAGCUGGUCUGAGAGGACGAUCAGCCACACUGGCACUGCGACACGGGCCAGACUCCUACGGGGAGGCAGCAGUAAGGAAUAUUGCGCAAUGGGCGAAAGCCUGACGCAGCGACGCCGCGUGGGGGAGUGAAGGUC